Molecule: ribosomal RNA, 643 nt
Filed under: uncultured Actinomycetes bacterium
Lineage: Bacteria; Bacillati; Actinomycetota; Actinomycetes
Description: bacterial SSU rRNA
Rfam family: Bacterial small subunit ribosomal RNA
Source: RNAcentral
CGCGGCCUAUCAGCUUGUUGGUGGGGUAACGGCCCACCAAGGCGACGACGGGUAGCCGGCCUGAGAGGGCGACCGGCCACACUGGGACUGAGACACGGCCCAGACUCCUACGGGAGGCAGCAGUGGGGAAUAUUGCACAAUGGGCGAAAGCCUGAUGCAGCGACGCCGCGUGAGGGAUGACGGCCUUCGGGUUGUAAACCUCUUUCAGCAGGGAAGAAGCGAAAGUGACGGUACCUGCAGAAGAAGCGCCGGCUAACUACGUGCCAGCAGCCGCGGUAAUACGUAGGGCGCAAGCGUUGUCCGGAAUUAUUGGGCGUAAAGAGCUCGUAGGCGGCUUGUCACGUCGGAUGUGAAAGCCCGAGGCUUAACCUCGGGUCUGCAUUCGAUACGGGCUAGCUAGAGUGUGGUAGGGGAGAUCGGAAUCCCUGGUGUAGCGGUGAAAUGCGCAGAUAUCAGGAGGAACACCGGUGGCGAAGGCGGAUCUCUGGGCCAUUACUGACGCUGAGGAGCGAAAGCGUGGGGAGCGAACAGGAUUAGAUACCCUGGUAGUCCACGCCGUAAACGUUGGGAACUAGGUGUUGGCGACAUUCCACGUCGUCGGUGCCGCAGCUAACGCAUUAAGUUCCCCGCCUGGGGAGUACGG